CUUUGAGAAACCACUACAGAUGUAAUACUGCUGCCGUCGCAACAUGGCGCUGUUGUGCAGAUCUGUGCUUAAACUUAAUGUAUUGAGCUGAAAACUAAACCAAAGGGAGCGGGAAAACAGUGACCGUGUAUAACACUGGUACUGGUAUGAACAACAGCGCCCAUUUACCGUACUAGCAGUACAUACUGCAAUUCUAUUAUUACACAACAAAAGGAAGCCCCGCCAAAGCAGGGCAUCAAAAAAUUAGUUGAAACUCAUAAAUGUUCCUCUCCACGGAAAUCUUUAGUAAAAGGCGAAAGAUUUAUGCGAUCUGAAGAGAAACCAGAGUAUGCUAAUAUCAACGUGCAGUAGACAACCUACUCAUAUUGUUAUUGUAACAAGGGACGGUUAGUUGUUUUUUAAACGAGCAUUUUAACGUCUACGUCUUGAGAAAAACAGCCAAAACAGCAUACAAGUACUGUAUGUUGACAUUUAGAUUUAAAUAUGAUAUUUUAAAAGCAUACAUUUCAUAAGAGGAAAUUAGAUUCUGCCAAAGUGCAUUAUGGGUAUGCAAAUAUGAUCCAACCCUGCAGCGCGGUUUCCACCCAACAGUAUUGCUCAACCCCAAGGUAUUCGUUUUCCGUUUCUAUUUUUUUGUCCCUCUCUAUUUUUAGCCGGUUUCAAGGAUUUCCGCCCCGUACAGAGGAUCGCCUUCAAAAAGAAGACGAGCGUUCCCACUCCAGCGCCGUGUUGGUGUCACUUACACUCCCAACUUCUGCUGUCUGAAGGAAACCCGACUCCACGGAGCCGACUAGACUCAGCAGAAAGACGAACUGAAUGUAGAACCACCUUUCAAGGUUGUGACAGCAGUUGUGAAGGAUUCAGAAGACAGUUAUUCGAAUCUUAUCCCACACUGAGUGAGGGUGGUGGAUUUUAACUAAUGAAGAUUUCAGGAUCUAUGAGAAGCCAGAUCUUGGCUGUUAUUCCUUGCCCUAAUGAGGGGUACUCAGCAAAAUAUUUAAGGGACCCAGAAACCCAAAUUUGGCUCUGUCAUUAUCUAUGUAAGGCCGCUACAAAGAGGUCUUAAUAUGGAUCAGGUAAGAGCUUAUUGUUUUUUUCUUUGAUUGUUUCUUAGUGCUGGUAAAUUCUUAUUAUUCAUCCAUCUUCUUUGGUGGGUUUUCAGGGUUCCACAUGUUCAUUCAGCUGUAGUGUAACAUUGCAUUUGCAGUGAAUGACGUGUCUGCUGCAAUUCAUUUAGUAGGUUCCUGGGCUGUCCUUAUCCACUGGGCCCCUGAUGAAGUGCCUCUUUUGUGAGAAAGACUUUUCCUUCUCAGAAAUAAAGUCACAGUGACGGCUGUAGCAGCAGGUAUAGUGUUUUUGUUAAUGUAAUUGGUCAUUGUUAAAUACAGUACAUUAACUAUUUUGAAAGGUUUAUUUGCAGUAAAAUGAUGAAAUAUGCGUAUAGUGGUUUUCAGGAAAUGUUUAUGCUAAUGUAGUCUUACAAAAAUAAAUGUAUUGGUCUCGUUAAAUGUUUUCAAAAUGAAUAAAAGCUGAUUGGCUGUGUUUUGAUGUAAUAUAAUUUAAGUCGUGGUUAUAAUCAUUGUUUUGCUGCACUUCAUGGAUACAUAUGUCAAGUUCUUAUUACCUGUUGUCAUAUACCAAAGGAACUUUUUGAUGAACAUUCUCACAGUGAUCUGACAAUGUGUUGGUCCUGCAUAUGCUUGUGAUCAUUUGUCCUUAAUUGUCUUUGUUUUGCUGUGUCUUCUUAGUUAAUUACUUCAUGUGAAACUUAUGGUUUAAAAUGUAUUGUCUUCAAGGCCUUCAUUUCAGAGCACAGACAGUAGUGUAGUGGAAGGAGUAGGUGAGACUCAGAGUUCAGAGGUGCCCACUGCAACAGUAACUUGUGUGCUGCUGAAUUCUGAUGAGCUGCUACAGGAGUGUAUUCCGGAUAGACCAAGUGAAAUAAUAGACAGCAAUAGGGAUGCAGGAGUAGACAGGGCAGUCUUCGUUGACAGCAGAGAGACUGAGGACGGUUUGUGAAUUAAAUUAUUUGAAUUAAUUUUAUGUGUUGAAUGAAAUAAGCUGACACCUUUCUGUUUUUCAAUGGGUAUGUUUUAUUUCUUUUCAGAAUGUGAAAUCAUGGCAAAUUUGUUCAGGGAGGCUGUAUUGAAGCAGCAUGGAACUGCUAAACCACUCCAUCUAAGAAUGGAUUUGCGAGACCGCAUGGAGAAUAGAGAGAGGGACAUUUUGUCAUUUUAUAAAAUGUCCAAAGUAGAAUGGGCCUGUCCUUUAAAAUGCACACUUGAAGAAAUCACUGACAGAACUUUUAAUGUUUGAAGGAGAACCUGACCAUUUAAUUCCCUCCACAUCUGAGUUCCUUCUCGAGAGUGACAUGUUUCACGUUGCUGGGCGAAUGAUUGGACAUUCUUUCCUGCACAGUGGUCCAAGCUUAGCUGGAUUGAGUCCCGCAAUUAUCCAUGUGUUGCUUGGAGGUGCACCAGAAACCGCCAAUCUGGAGAGUCACGAUUGUCCUGAUAUUGAUGUUCACGAAACUGUCAAAUUAAAGGAGUCCAAAGCAGUUCUCAGUGAAGAAGACACAAGCAUAAUACUGCAAUUGGCAUUAAGCUGGGAUCUUCCAGGGAUGGCAGAAGAAAAUCGGCAUUGGCUAAUGGACAAACUCCUCCUUCACGCUGUUAUUGUAAGAACAACUCGACAGGUUAAACAGCUGAGGAAAGGACUGAAAGAGACAUUGGUCUGGCCUCUCCUGAAGGAAAGAAGUGAUAUUAUUCCACUGAUGUUUCCAAGGGCCUCUGACACACUAUACACCUCCCAGGUGUGUUACAUUUUAUUACAUGUUGUUCCCUAAUUAAGUUUUGAAUGCCUGUGGCAGUGUGUUACUGUUUCAGUGUUUUGAUAAUGUGAUUUGCUAGUUAUAUUUCUAAUUCUGAAGUUUAUAUAUUUUUUGGUGUAACUGUGAAGCUCAUAUACUAGUAUGUUUUGGUCUACAAUAUAAAACCCAGCUUGUAUAGAGCUUUGAGAUGAAGCUUGUUAUUGAGCAAUUUCAAUAUUGGAAUUGAACAAAAAUGGCCAAUAAGGUUCAGCAAGAGAUCCCCAGCCGUGCAUUCAUUUAUCUAUUCAUUCUUUUUUUCCUCAAGAUGAUCCUUGAAAGAAUCACCUGGCCACACUGAAUGUGGCGGAAGAUGAUGAUGAUGAUGAUGAUGAUGAUGAUGAUGAUGAUGAUGACUGUUCUCUUGAGACUAAAUGCCGUAUCACAGGCUUCUUCAGGACAUUCAUUGAGAUGCAUCACCAAGAGCGCUGAUUGAUCUCCUCAGAUUCUGGGUUGGAUGGGAGGUCCUCCCGAAGGAGCUGUCUGUUGAGGUCACAGAUACCAAACUGCCCAAAGCAUCCACCUGUUUCGAAACCAUUAAAUUACCCAGACACGACUUUCACUACUCAUCAUUUGAGGAGGAUCUUCUUUCCUGUAUACAUACUGUGGACACCGGCUUUGGACUUGUCUAAUUUAGAAUUCCGCCAUGAGAAAUCUGUUUGAACUCCUUCAGGGGCCAAUUAAAAUAUACAACAUAAUUGAUUUGACAACUAGAAAUAUAACAUGACAAAGUAAAAAAAAAAACAUCCAGGUUAAUGUUCUGCUAUAUUAUUAUUCUUAUUAUUAUUAUUAUUAUUAUUAUUUAUUUCUUAGCAGAUGCCAUUAUCCAGGGCGACUUACAGUUGUAAACAAAAAUACAUUUAAGGAAUCACAGUACAAGUAAUAAUACAAUUAUGUAAAUACUAAAUGUACUAAGAAAGAAAUUCAAAUGAACGACUGGCAAUUUUAUUAGGCCAUUUUAUUAUUUUGAUUACAAUAAAUAAUGCACUGAUUCUCAAAAUGUUUCUUUUUUUGGGGGGGGGGAACAACACUUUUUUUUUCUUUUAAAAUACUUGCUUAUGUUUGUGAAAACAUCUGUUAAAUAUCAACAUAAGCACAGGUACUAUUGUCAUUUAUUUAACAAAGUCAGUGCUAUGCAGACUCAGUGACAAAAAAUACAGCUGUCCCAAACAAUAAAAACAAUCGUCAAA
This is a long non-coding RNA of Acipenser ruthenus (sterlet), 4056 nucleotides long. RefSeq lists it as uncharacterized. The transcript is spliced from 6 exons. The record is from RefSeq and is a predicted model, not a curated record. Lineage: Eukaryota; Metazoa; Chordata; Actinopteri; Acipenseriformes; Acipenseridae.